Molecule: ribosomal RNA, 506 nt
Filed under: uncultured bacterium
Lineage: Bacteria
Description: partial 16S ribosomal RNA
Rfam family: Bacterial small subunit ribosomal RNA
Source: RNAcentral
AUUGAACGCUGGCGGCAGGCCUAACACAUGCAAGUCGAACGGCAGCACAGAAGAGCUUGCUCUUUGGGUGGCGAGUGGCGGACGGGUGAGUAAUGUCUGGGAAACUGCCCGAUGGAGGGGGAUAACUACUGGAAACGGUAGCUAAUACCGCAUAACGUCGCAAGACCAAAGUGGGGGACCUUCGGGCCUCACACCAUCGGAUGUGCCCAGAUGGGAUUAGCUAGUAGGUGGGGUAAUGGCUCACCUAGGCGAUGAUCCCUAGCUGGUCUGAGAGGAUGACCAGCCACACUGGAACUGAGACACGGUCCAGACUCCUACGGGAGGCAGCAGUGGGGAAUAUUGCACAAUGGGCGCAAGCCUGAUGCAGCCAUGCCGCGUGUAUGAAGAAGGCCUUCGGGUUGUAAAGUACUUUCAGCGGGGAGGAAGGCGGUGAGGUUAAUAACCUUGCCGAUUGACGUUACCCGCAGAAGAAGCACCGGCUAACUCCGUGCCAGCCGCCGCUGUAA